AGUUCGGAUCGCAGGCUGCAACUCGCCUGCGUGAAGUUGGAAUUGCUAGUAAUCGCGGAUCAGCAUGCCGCGGUGAAUACGUUCCCGGGCCUUGUACACACCGCCCGUCACACCAUGGGAGUUUGUAACACCCGAAGUCAGUAUCCUAACCGCAAGGGGGGGAGCUGCCGAAGGUGGGGAUAAGCGACUGGGGUGAAGUCGUAACAAGGUAGC
RNAcentral lists this ribosomal RNA (213 nucleotides) under uncultured bacterium. RNAcentral describes it as "partial 16S ribosomal RNA". It matches the Rfam family "Bacterial small subunit ribosomal RNA", at positions 1290 to 1500 of the family's 1533-position model. The record is from RNAcentral.